Molecule: long non-coding RNA, 779 nt
Filed under: Fragaria vesca (wild strawberry)
Lineage: Eukaryota; Viridiplantae; Streptophyta; Magnoliopsida; Rosales; Rosaceae
Description: long non-coding RNA (FVES_LNC002434)
Source: RNAcentral
ACCAAGUAUUACCAAAUAUACUCAAUGUGUCAGGAAAAUAUACUAUCACAGUAUCGAAAAUGUACUAUCGCAGUGUCAUAAAUAUACUAUCACAGUUUUGAAAUUAUACUAUCACACAUAAGCACUGCCGCUGUGAUGCAUCUACUCCCUUACACAUCACUCUACUCCCUUACAGAUCCAUCAUCCAAGCCAUACAAAGAAUGAAAAACCUUCAAUUCCACAUUGGACGUUGUUGUCGACGGUGCCUAGCUCAGUUUCCAUAUACUUAUUGUUGUGGCUAUUGACAUUUCAACUCCUGCUUGGCAUUAAUUUGAAGAUUACGACUAGGAAAUCCAAGAAGACCGGUACAAGUCGCCGAGGAAGCCGCCUGGCCAUGGAUCUAGGUGGAUCGUGUUAAGGUCGAGAGCUCGUCGGAGAUGAAUCGAAUCAAAAAGAGAGAGACCGGAGCUUCUUCGUCGUCAUCAGGCGAGUAUCAUACAACAAAAACCCCCAAAAUCAAUCAAAAACAGUCGGAUCGGAGCAAAUCAGAUACGAAUUCAAAGACUAAGGAGUAGAAGUACCUCAGAUAUGGUGUUGAUGUGGUUGACGUCGACGGCGAAGGUAGGGUUCCGGCGAUAUCGUAGAGGGAGAGUUGGAAGACGAUGACCAUCGCUGCCUAAUCGUGGUUGAAAUCCAGAAGCGGGGGAGAUGCAAUCAAGGCCGAAGCGGAGGUCGUCGAGGAGUCGAGCUAGAAGUCGCGUCGAGGCGGCCGAUGGCUUUGUCAUGGCGGCGGCNNNNNN